UACGUAGGGGGCUAGCGUUGUCCGGAUUUAUUGGGCGUAAAGAGCGUGUAGGCGGCCAGGUAGGUCCGCUGUGAAAGUCCGAGGCUCAACCUCGGAAUGUCGGCGGAAACCCUCUGGCUAGAGUCCGGAAGAGGAGAGUGGAAUUCCCGGUGUAGCGGUGAAAUGCGCAGAUAUCGGGAAGAACACCCGUGGCGAAGGCGGCUCUCUGGGCCAUAACUGACGCUGAGGAGCGAAAGCGUGGGGAGCGAACAGG
Molecule: ribosomal RNA, 253 nt
Filed under: uncultured bacterium
Lineage: Bacteria
Description: partial 16S ribosomal RNA
Rfam family: Bacterial small subunit ribosomal RNA
Source: RNAcentral